GAUCCUGGCUCAGGAUGAACGCUAGCUACAGGCUUAGCACAUGCAAGUCGAGGGGCAGCAUGGUCUUAGCUUGCUAAGGCCGAUGGCGACCGGCGCACGGGUGAGUAACGCGUAUCCAACCUGCCUUACACUCUUGUACAGCCUUCUGAAAGGGAGAUUAAUACAAGAUGUUAUCAUGAGUAAGCAUUUUCGCAUGAUUAAAGGUUUACCGGUGUAAGAUGGGGAUGCG
RNAcentral lists this ribosomal RNA (229 nucleotides) under uncultured bacterium. RNAcentral describes it as "partial 16S ribosomal RNA". It matches the Rfam family "Bacterial small subunit ribosomal RNA", at positions 15 to 235 of the family's 1533-position model. The record is from RNAcentral.